UACGUAGGGGGCAAGCGUUGUCCGGAAUCAUUGGGCGUAAAGAGCGUGUAGGCGGCCCGGUAAGUCCGCUGUGAAAGUCCAGGGCUCAACCCUGGGAUGCCGGUGGAUACUGUCGGGCUCGAGUCCGGAAGAGGAGUGUGGAAUUCCUGGUGUAGCGGUGAAAUGCGCAGAUAUCAGGAGGAACACCAAUGGCGAAGGCAGGUCACUGGGACGCAACUGACGCUGAGGAGCGAAAGCAUGGGGAGCGAACAGG
RNAcentral lists this ribosomal RNA (253 nucleotides) under uncultured bacterium. Its description in RNAcentral is "partial 16S ribosomal RNA". It matches the Rfam family "Bacterial small subunit ribosomal RNA", at positions 524 to 776 of the family's 1533-position model. The record is from RNAcentral.